UUUUAAUAUUGUAACUAUUUUCCAAUUUAUUGCAAUUAUGAAUGCAUUGCCACAAAUUUCAAUGCCUUUUUUGUAUUAGUUCCUGAACAAUGUUCC
Long non-coding RNA from Hibiscus syriacus, 96 nucleotides. RefSeq lists it as uncharacterized. The record is from RefSeq and is a predicted model, not a curated record. Lineage: Eukaryota; Viridiplantae; Streptophyta; Magnoliopsida; Malvales; Malvaceae. The transcript has 3 exons.